Molecule: ribosomal RNA, 525 nt
Filed under: uncultured bacterium
Lineage: Bacteria
Description: bacterial SSU rRNA
Rfam family: Bacterial small subunit ribosomal RNA
Source: RNAcentral
UAUCCGGAUUUAUUGGGCGUAAAGGGCUCGUAGGCGGCUCGUCGCGUCCGGUGUGAAAGUCCAUCGCUUAACGGUGGAUCUGCGCCGGGUACGGGCGGGCUGGAGUGCGGUAGGGGAGACUGGAAUUCCCGGUGUAACGGUGGAAUGUGUAGAUAUCGGGAAGAACACCGAUGGCGAAGGCAGGUCUCUGGGCCGUCACUGACGCUGAGGAGCGAAAGCGUGGGGAGCGAACAGGAUUAGAUACCCUGGUAGUCCACGCCGUAAACGGUGGACGCUGGAUGUGGGGCACGUUCCACGUGUUCCGUGUCGGAGCUAACGCGUUAAGCGUCCCGCCUGGGGAGUACGGCCGCAAGGCUAAAACUCAAAGAAAUUGACGGGGGCCCGCACAAGCGGCGGAGCAUGCGGAUUAAUUCGAUGCAACGCGAAGAACCUUACCUGGGCUUGACAUGUUCCCGACGACGCCAGAGAUGGCGUUUCCCUUCGGGGCGGGUUCACAGGUGGUGCAUGGUCGUCGUCAGCUCGUGU